CAGUCGCCACGGGAACACGGAGGAUCCAAGCGUUAUCCGGAAUCAUUGGGUUUAAAGGGUCCGUAGGCGGUCUUGUAAGUCAGUGGUGAAAGCCCAUCGCUCAACGGUGGAACGGCCAUUGAUACUGCAGGACUUGAAUUAUUGGGAAGUAACUAGAAUAUGUAGUGUAGCGGUGAAAUGCUUAGAGAUUACAUGGAAUACCAAUUGCGAAGGCAGGUUACUACCAAUUGAUUGACGCUGAUGGACGAAAGCGUGGGUAGCGAACAGGAUUAGAUACCCCCGUAGUCCCUGUCUCUUAUAC
Molecule: ribosomal RNA, 301 nt
Filed under: uncultured bacterium
Lineage: Bacteria
Description: partial 16S ribosomal RNA
Rfam family: Bacterial small subunit ribosomal RNA
Source: RNAcentral